UCUCCGUAGGUGAACCUGCGUAGGGAUCUUUACUGAGUGAGGGCUCACGCCCGACCUCCAACCCUUUUGUGAACCACCUCGUUGCUUCGGGGGCGACCCUGCCGUUUGCGGCGUGGAGCCCCCGGAGCCCAUCAAACCCUGCGUAACUAAGUCGUCGGAGUUUAAACAAAUUAAACAAAACUUUCAACAACGGAUCUCUUGGUUCGGGCAUCGAUGAAGAACGCAGC
Molecule: unclassified non-coding RNA, 227 nt
Filed under: uncultured fungus
Lineage: Eukaryota; Fungi
Description: sequence contains ITS1, 5.8S rRNA gene
Rfam family: 5.8S ribosomal RNA (bases 179-227)
Source: RNAcentral